GACGAACGCUGGCGGCGUGCUUAACACAUGCCAGUCGAACGGAAAGGCCCUGCUGUUGUGGUGUUCUCGGUGGGCGAACGGGUGAGUAACACGUGAGUAACCUGCCCUUCACUUUGGGAUAACUUCAGGAAACUGGGGCUAAUACCGGAUAGGAGCUCCUCCUGCAUGGGAGGGGUUGGAAAGUUUCGGCUGUUGGGGAUGGACUCGCGGCUUAUCAGCUUGUUGGUGGGGUAGUGGCUUACCAAGGCUUUGACGGGUAGCCGGCAUGAGAGGGUGACCGGACACAUUGGGACUGAGAUACGGCGCAGACUCCUACGGGAGGCAGCAGGGGGGAAUAUUGCACAAUGGGCGGAAGCCUGAUGAAGCAACGCCGCGUGCGGGAUGACGGCCUUCGGGUUGUAAAACGCUUUCGCCUGUGACGAAGCGUGAGUGACGGUAAUGGGUAAAGAAGCACCGGCUAACUACGUG
RNAcentral lists this ribosomal RNA (468 nucleotides) under uncultured bacterium. RNAcentral's name for it is "partial 16S ribosomal RNA". It matches the Rfam family "Bacterial small subunit ribosomal RNA", at positions 28 to 507 of the family's 1533-position model. The record is from RNAcentral.